This 506-nucleotide ribosomal RNA is filed under the name uncultured bacterium. RNAcentral's name for it is "partial 16S ribosomal RNA". It matches the Rfam family "Bacterial small subunit ribosomal RNA", at positions 28 to 523 of the family's 1533-position model. The record is from RNAcentral.
GAUGAACGCUAGCUACAGGCUUAACACAUGCAAGUCGAGGGGUAACGAGAGGAAAGCUUGCUUUCCUUGUCGUCGACCGGCGCACGGGUGAGUAACGCGUAUCCAACCUGCCCCCAACUAGGGAAUAACCUUGCGAAAGUAAGACUAAUACCCUAUAAUUUCCUCAGAUGACAUCUGACGAGGAAUAAAGAUUUAUCGGUUGUGGAUGGGGAUGCGUCUGAUUAGCUUGUUGGCGGGGUAACGGCCCACCAAGGCAACGAUCAGUAGGGGUUCUGAGAGGAAGGUCCCCCACAUUGGAACUGGGACACGGUCCAAACUCCUACGGGAGGCAGCAGUGAGGAAUAUUGGUCAAUGGGCGGAAGCCUGAGCCGGCCAAGUAGCGUGCAGGAUGACGGCCCUAUGGGUUGUAAACUGCUUUUAUACAGGAAUAAAGUUAGCCACGUGUGGUUAUUUGUAGGUACUGUAUGAAUAAGGACCGGCUAAUUCCGUGCCAGCCGCCGCCGUAA